UACGUAGGGCGCAAGCGUUGUCCGGAAUUAUUGGGCGUAAAGAGCUCGUAGGCGGCCUGUUACGUCUGCUGUGAAAUCCCGGGGCUUAACCCCGGGCGUGCAGUGGAUACGGGCAGGCUAGAGUUCGGCAGGGGAGACUGGAAUUCCUGGUGUAGCGGUGAAAUGCGCAGAUAUCAGGAGGAACACCGGUGGCGAAGGCGGGUCUCUGGGCCGAUACUGACGCUGAGGAGCGAAAGCGUGGGGAGCGAACAGG
Molecule: ribosomal RNA, 253 nt
Filed under: uncultured bacterium
Lineage: Bacteria
Description: partial 16S ribosomal RNA
Rfam family: Bacterial small subunit ribosomal RNA
Source: RNAcentral